Molecule: ribosomal RNA, 254 nt
Filed under: uncultured bacterium
Lineage: Bacteria
Description: partial 16S ribosomal RNA
Rfam family: Bacterial small subunit ribosomal RNA
Source: RNAcentral
UACGUAGGGACCGAGCGUUGUCCGGAAUUAUUGGGCGUAAAGAGCUCGUAGGCGGUGUGUCGCGUCGGCCGUGAAAACCUGCAGCUUAACUGUGGGCUUGCGGUCGAUACGGGCAUCACUGGAGUUCGGCAGGGGAGACUGGAAUUCCUGGUGUAGCGGUGAAAUGCGUAGAUAUCAAGAGGAACACCUGAGGUGAAGACGGGUUGCUGGGCUGACACUGACGCUGAGGCGCGAAAGCCAGGGGAGCAAACGGG